GGUCUUGGCUCCGGCCCUACGAUCGACGCGCGACCUGCGGACUUACGGUCUUCAGACGCACGAGCGCGACCGCGGUGCACAGGAGGGCAGGAACGACGUGAUGAUGAUGGUGAUGAUAGUGGUGGUAGUGGUGGUAGUGGUGGCGGCGGCGGCGGCGAUGUACAGCGCGCUAUCGUUCACGAGGCACAUCCCCGAGCGUGCGACGACGCGCGAUAUAUCCGCCAUCGCCAAUGAUACACUUCCGUGUUUUCGUAUUUUUGUUUCUUUUUCGCUUCCCUUCUUCUCUCUUUUCUCCAGCAAGAAGGUCAGGGCUUUACCGAUUCGCCCAACGUCUCGCGAUCAACGGUAGACCCUUAAAUGGAUCCAUCCGACCCGGGAGUCGCGCCCGUACUGAUCGUCGGCCUUCCGACCGUACCAAGUGACGAGAUUAUAACUAACCCAACCCAACUUGCGCCCCACCCAACCCUGUACGAGUACUGGCCUCCAUGGCCUUCCCCGUAUCGUGUCGCGUCGCACCGUGUCGUGUCGCCAUCCCUUUCGCAGGGUGAGAGGGGGAGGGGCGAAGUCGAGAGAAAUCAAAUGGACAGCGCGUUCGGGACUAAUAGCGGACACCAAUUUGGAAGCGAAUUUGUUCUGAGAGCGAGAUAGACCUUUUUACCUCCGAAAGAAAAUAUUUAACCAAACUGGAUCUUGAAGACAAACGUAAAGGUUGCCAAAAGUGCAAGCCGUUGAUGCAAUUUGACUUUGCGAGCGUGCCAGCGAGCUUCUAACGCUCUAUGAUGACCAAGAAUCUGAUGAAUAACAGCUAAUACGUGAGAUGCGCCUUCGCUAUAAUCAGCUGCUGGAUUACCACUCGUCCCGACUUGCACAAGAUGGUCCAGUUGGUAAAGAAGCUUCUUACUGGUACUAUGCACCUAAAUAAGAAUUUUACCCAAUCCCACUUAAGAAAUAUUCGUAUAUACAACAUCUGUUAUGAAUAUAUGGCUUUAUACAUAUAAUAUGUAAUGGGAUAAAUAACAUAAAUUAACUUUUAAUCAAAA
Molecule: long non-coding RNA, 1040 nt
Organism: Monomorium pharaonis (pharaoh ant)
Lineage: Eukaryota; Metazoa; Arthropoda; Insecta; Hymenoptera; Formicidae
Exons: 3
Source: RefSeq, a predicted model, not a curated record